UACGUCGGGCGCACGCGUUGUCCGGAAUUAUUGGGCGUAAAGAGCUCGUAGGCGGCUUGUCACGUCGGAUGUGAAAGCCCGGGGCUUAACCCCGGGUCUGCAUUCGAUACGGGCAGGCUAGAGUUCGGUAGGGGAGAUCGGAAUUCCUGGUGUAGCGGUGAAAUGCGCAGAUAUCAGGAGGAACACCGGUGGCGAAGGCGGAUCUCUGGGCCGAUACUGACGCUGAGGAGCGAAAGCGUGGGGAGCGAACAGG
RNAcentral lists this ribosomal RNA (253 nucleotides) under uncultured bacterium. Its description in RNAcentral is "partial 16S ribosomal RNA". It matches the Rfam family "Bacterial small subunit ribosomal RNA", at positions 524 to 776 of the family's 1533-position model. The record is from RNAcentral.